AGUGAACGUUGGCGGCGUGGAUUAGGCAUGCAAGUCGAGCGAGAACCGUAGCAAUACGGGGACAGCGGCGAAAGGGACAGUAAUGUGUAGGUACCUACCUCCGGGUUCGGGAUAGCUGCGGGAAACUGCAGGUAAUACCGAAUAACGUCUCCGGACCAAAGGUGUGAUUCCACCUGGAGAGGGGCCUGCAUCCUAUUAGCUUGUUGGCGGGGUAACGGCCCACCAAGGCGACGAGGGGUAGCGGGGGUGAGAGCACGACCCGCGUCAUUGGGACUGAGACACUGGCCAGACACCGACGGGUGGCUGCAGUCGUGGAUCUUCGGCAAUGGGCGCAAGCCUGACCGAGCGACGCCGCGUGCGGGAUGAAGGCCUUCGGGUUGUAAACCGCUGUCGUAGAGGAGGAAAUGCAGGGGGGUUCUCCCCUCUGUUUGACCUAUUCUAGGAGGAAGUACGGGCUAAGUUCGUGCCAGCCGCCGCAGUAA
This 482-nucleotide ribosomal RNA is filed under the name uncultured bacterium. RNAcentral describes it as "partial 16S ribosomal RNA". It matches the Rfam family "Bacterial small subunit ribosomal RNA", at positions 28 to 523 of the family's 1533-position model. The record is from RNAcentral.